GCCAGACUCCUACGGGAGGCAGCAGUGAGGAAUAUUGGUCAAUGGCCGGAAGGCUGAACCAGCCAAGCCGCGUGAAGGACGAAGGUGCCAAGCAUUGUAAACUUCUUUUGUCAAGGGACAAAAUCAGGCUCGAGAGCCUGACCGAGGGUACUUGAAGAAAAAGCAUCGGCUAACUCCGUGCCAGCAGCCGCGGUAAUACGGAGGAUGCGAGCGUUAUCCGGAUUUAUUGGGUUUAAAGGGUGCGCAGGCGGAAGAUCAAGUCAGCGGUAAAAUUGAGAGGCUCAACCUCUGCGAGCCGUUGAAACUGGUUUUCUUGAGUGAGCGAGAAGUAUGCGGAAUGCGUGGUGUAGCGGUGAAAUGCAUAGAUAUCACGCAGAACUCCGAUUGCGAAGGCAGCAUACCGGCGCCUGUCUGACGCUGAGGCACGAAAGCGUGGGUAUCGAACAGGAUUAGAUACCCGCGUAAU
Molecule: ribosomal RNA, 466 nt
Filed under: uncultured bacterium
Lineage: Bacteria
Description: bacterial SSU rRNA
Rfam family: Bacterial small subunit ribosomal RNA
Source: RNAcentral